ACAUUCCUGUUGUUGAAGCCACCAGUCUGUGGUAUUUUAUGGCAGCCCAAGCUAAGACAGUGAGGAUUAAAGCCUGUGGUUUCCACAGAAGCACCACCUAUCAUAUUUGCCACACCAACUAAACUGACCUCCGAUUCCACAGCGUAUGAUUAUGCUGGGAAAAACAAAGUUCCAGAGCUACAAAAGUUUUUCCAGAAAGCUGAUGGUGUGCCCGUCUACCUGAAACGAGGCCUGCCUGACCAAAUGCUUUACCGGACCACCAUGGCGCUGACUGUGGGAGGGACCAUCUACUGCCUGAUCGCCCUCUACAUGGCUUCGCAGCCUAAAAACAAAUGAGUUAGGCUGCAGAGGACUGGUUUGUUUUUUGGCAUAAACCCUUUGAAUUUCCUUUUUCAUUGUUAAAUUAAAAUUUUUUUUUUACUUGGAUGGCUUAACAUUUUUGCAAGAAAAAUAGGAAGAUAUGAAGACAAUGUUUUGGUUUGUUUAUGAAAUGCAUAUGGCUUGUCAGAGCUCAUUCGACAGUUAAAGCCAUUGUUUAAAGAAAUGGUGCUUUGCUCUGUGUUUGUGCUCCUGAUUUCCCUGGAGGUUCUGGAUGAAGGCUGAACACAGGCUU
Molecule: small RNA, 613 nt
Filed under: Pongo abelii (Sumatran orangutan)
Lineage: Eukaryota; Metazoa; Chordata; Mammalia; Primates; Hominidae
Description: processed transcript
Source: RNAcentral